This 591-nucleotide ribosomal RNA is filed under the name Triticum aestivum (bread wheat). Its description in RNAcentral is "partial small subunit ribosomal RNA". Lineage: Eukaryota; Viridiplantae; Streptophyta; Magnoliopsida; Poales; Poaceae. The record is from RNAcentral.
AUGGCCAAAAUCCAGCCCAUUUCUUCUUCUCCCUGCUCCACCUCUUUCUCCGGUGAACAGGAGGGCAGGCAGGCGUACACGGUGUGGAUGAAGUCGCUGCUGUUCAACGGCAAUGGUUGCGCGGUGUACGGCCCCGACGGCGUCGUCGCCUUCCGCGUCGACAACUACGGCUGCAGGGGCGGCCGCGAGGCCCUCCUCAUGGACCGUGAGGGGAACGCACUCAUCAGGAUCAGACGCAAGGGCUUCGGGACGUUCACGAGGUGGGAGGUCUGCCGGUGCGCGCAGGACGGCGGCGAGGAGGAGGCGACGCCAUGGUUCACCGUGCGGCGGGCUGAGAAGGGCGGGGCGGCCGUCGCGAUGAACGGCGGCGCGGGGACGUGUUACAGGGUCGACGGAAGCUGCGCGCGCAAGCCGGCGUACAGAGUUCGCGGCGUGGAUGGCUCCGUUGUGGCGGAGGUGGUACGGAAGCAGACGGCGGCGGGGGUGGAGCUGGGGGAGGACGUGCUGACGCUGACGGUGGCGCCCGAGGCGGAUCACCUGCUCGUCUUGGGUUUGGUCGUCGUGCGUGGUCUCAUCAACCGCUCCUUGUGA